GGGUUGUGAGGUUAAGCGACUAAGCGUACACGGUGGAUGCCCUGGCAGUCAGAGGCGAUGAAGGGCGUGCUAAUCUGCGAUAAGCGCCGGUAAGGUGAUAUGAACCGUUAUAACCGGCGAUACCCGAAUGGGGAAACCCAGUGUGACUCGUCACACUAUCAUUAACUGAAUCCAUAGGUUAAUGAGGCGAACCGGGGGAACUGAAACAUCUAAGUACCCCGAGGAAAAGAAAUCAACCGAGAUUCCCCCAGUAGCGGCGAGCGAACGGGGAGGAGCCCAGAGCCUGAAUCAGCAUGUGUGUUAGUGGAAGCGUCUGGAAAGGCGCGCGAUACAGGGUGACAGCCCCGUACACAAAAGCGCAUGUGCUGUGAGCUCGAUGAGUAGGGCGGGACACGUGGUAUCCUGUCUGAAUAUGGGGGGACCAUCCUCCAAGGCUAAAUACUCCUGACUGACCGAUAGUGAACCAGUACCGUGAGGGAAAGGCGAAAAGAACCCCGGCGAGGGGAGUGAAAAAGAACCUGAAACCGUGUACGUACAAGCAGUGGGAGCCCCACCACCAAAGCAUUUGCUGUACCGCGUUGACGGAGCGAAGCGACGUCAAACCGAUAAAACAGCAGUGUAAAGUGAGCCGCAGGGCGCUUUGCGCGACAGCGCAAAGGCAGGCGGUUUCGCGUAGCGAAAGCGAAUGCUUUGGGGUGGGGUGACUGCGUACCUUUUGUAUAAUGGGUCAGCGACUUAUAUUCUGUAGCAAGGUUAACCGAAUAGGGGAGCCGGAGGGAAACCGAGUCUUAAUUGGGCGUUAAGUUGCAGGGUAUAGACCCGAAACCCGGUGAUCUAGCCAUGGGCAGGUUGAAGGUUGGGUAACACUAACUGGAGGACCGAACCGACUAAUGUUGAAAAAUUAGCGGAUGACCUGUGGCUGGGGGUGAAAGGCCAAUCAAACCGGGAGAUAGCUGGUUCUCCCCGAAAGCUAUUUAGGUAGCGCCUCGUGAAUUCAUCUCCGGGGGUAGAGCACUGUUUCGGCUAGGGGGCCAUCCCGGCUUACCAACCCGAUGCAAACUGCGAAUACCGGAGAAUGUUAUCACGGGAGACACACGGCGGGUGCUAACGUCCGUCGUGAAGAGGGAAACAACCCAGACCGCCAGCUAAGGUCCCAAAGUCAUGGUUAAGUGGGAAACGAUG
Molecule: ribosomal RNA, 1182 nt
Filed under: Salmonella enterica subsp. enterica serovar Moscow str. SA20061414
Lineage: Bacteria; Pseudomonadati; Pseudomonadota; Gammaproteobacteria; Enterobacterales; Enterobacteriaceae
Description: bacterial LSU rRNA
Rfam family: Bacterial large subunit ribosomal RNA
Source: RNAcentral